AUCAGAAUGAAGGGACUUAACCCCCGCAACCAACACCCAAAGCUGGCAUUCUACUAAAUUACACUCUGUAAAGUUUUAUCGAUGUGGUCUCAUCCCCACCUAAAACACAAGGAUCUGGUCCCAACCCUUAAACCAAUUACUACUUAACUUACACAUGCAAGUCUCAGCACACCCGUGAAAAAGCCCCUACCCACAAAGUAGGGAGCCGGUAUCAGGCACAAUAUUUGCCCAAGACACCUAGCCCCGCCACACCCACAAGGGCAUGCAGCAGUGAUUAAUAUUAAGCAUAAACGCCAGUUUGACUUAGUUAAAGUACUCAGAGCCGGCCAAUCCGGUGCCAGCCGCCGCGGUUACACCGUCGAGGCUCAAGUUGGUUUACUUCGGCGUAAAGCGUGGUUAAAGUUAUACUCCAUUAAGACUCAACUCAAGCUAAACUGUUUAAAGUCUUGCUUACAGGAAAAUCAUAAACGAAAGUUGUCUUAACCCCCCUCUCCUUGAACCCACGACAACUAGGACACAAACUGGGAUUAGAUACCCCACUAUGCCUAGUCGUAAACUUACUUACAACCCCCCC
Molecule: ribosomal RNA, 574 nt
Filed under: Euparkerella cochranae (Cochran's Guanabara frog)
Lineage: Eukaryota; Metazoa; Chordata; Amphibia; Anura; Craugastoridae
Description: partial small subunit ribosomal RNA
Source: RNAcentral